This 498-nucleotide ribosomal RNA is filed under the name uncultured bacterium. RNAcentral's name for it is "bacterial SSU rRNA". It matches the Rfam family "Bacterial small subunit ribosomal RNA", at positions 30 to 521 of the family's 1533-position model. The record is from RNAcentral.
AUUGAACGCUGGCGGCAUGCCUUACACAUGCAAGUCGAACGGUAACAGGUCUUCGGAUGCUGACGAGUGGCGAACGGGUGAGUAAUACAUCGGAACGUGCCCGAUCGUGGGGGAUAACGGAGCGAAAGCUUUGCUAAUACCGCAUACGAUCUACGGAUGAAAGCAGGGACCGCAAGGCCUUGCGCGGACGGAGCGGCCGAUGGCAGAUUAGGUAGUUGGUGGGAUAAAAAGCUUACCAAGCCGACGAUCUGUAGCUGGUCUGAGAGGACGACCAGCCACACUGGGACUGAGACACGGCCCAGACUCCUACGGGAGGCAGCAGUGGGGAAUUUUGGACAAUGGGCGCAAGCCUGAUCCAGCCAUGCCGCGUGCAGGAUGAAGGCCUUCGGGUUGUAAACUGCUUUUGUUACGGAACGAAAAGACUCUUUCUAAUAAAGAGGUCCAAUGAGGUACCGUAAGAAUAAGCACCGGCUAACUAACGUGCCAAGCAGCCGCGGU